UCCUGUAUCGCCUAAUGUGUAACGCUGAAAACAUAGUAAAUUCCAGACCGCUUACACACAUUGCUCUGGAUAACCCCACAGACGAUCCGAUAACCCCUAAUCACUUUCUUUUAGGUUCUCCCAAUUCUAGCCAGACACCACAUCCACAAGAGGAGAAGUACCAGCCAACUCGAAAGGAAUGGCGCAUCGCUCAGCAGAUCUCACACUCAUUUUGGAACAAGUGGCUCAAUGAGUACCUACCAGACCUAUGCAGACGGACAAAGUGGCAUCACCCAAUGCCACCACUCGCUGAAAUGGACAUUGUUCUUAUCUGUGAUAAGAAUCUUCAUCGAUCUCAAUGGAAAAAGGGAGUUAUUCUAGCAGUCACGCCUGGACGCGACGGACAGGUUCGCUCAGCCACUGUAAAGACGACGGCUGGAGUUCUACACCGCCCAACCUGUAUGCUGGAAAAGCUAGACAUAUUGUGAAUCACGAGCGUGCUUGAUUCACGGUGGUGGGGAUGUUGUCGAGAAAAAUUAGCUUAUAUAUACUUAGUUUUAAGCAAGGGCACAGAUACCCUACGUAAAGAAAAAAGAGAAAAGAAAAAUGGCCACACUAUGAAAAGACAAGAAGGUCACAUUAGUUUGAGCAGUCGAAGAAAGAGCGGGGAGAAAAGACGAAGCGAAAUAAAACGCAACCAACGCCUAAAUACCUAUGAAGAUAAGAGAUUGUGUUUUAUCCGCAAUUCUCACGUUCCUGGA
Drosophila miranda is the source of this 740-nucleotide long non-coding RNA. RefSeq lists it as uncharacterized. The transcript has 2 exons. The record is from RefSeq and is a predicted model, not a curated record. Lineage: Eukaryota; Metazoa; Arthropoda; Insecta; Diptera; Drosophilidae.